Molecule: ribosomal RNA, 253 nt
Filed under: uncultured bacterium
Lineage: Bacteria
Description: partial 16S ribosomal RNA
Rfam family: Bacterial small subunit ribosomal RNA
Source: RNAcentral
UACGAAGGGUGCAAGCAUUAAUCGGAAUUACUGUGCGUAAAGCGCGCGUAGGAGGUUCAGUAAGUUGGAAGUGAAAUCCCCGGGCUCAACCUGGGAACUGCCUUCAAAACUGCUGAGCUAGAGUACGGUAGAGGGUGGUGGAAUUUCCUGUGUAGCGGUGAAAUGCGUAGAUAUAGGAAGGAACACCAGUGGCGAAGGCGACCACCUGGACUGAUACUGACACUGAGGUGCGAAAGCGUGGGGAGCAAACAGG